AGUGAACGCUGGCGGUAGGCCUAACACAUGCAAGUCGAACGGCAGCACAGUAAGAGCUUGCUCUUACGGGUGGCGAGUGGCGGACGAGUGAGGAAUACAUCGGAAUCUACUUUUUCGUGGGGGAUAACGUAGGGAAACUUACGCUAAUACCGCAUACGACCUACGGGUGAAAGCAGGGGAUCUUCGGACCUUGCGCGAUUGAAUGAGCCGAUGUCGGAUGAGCUAGUUGGCGGGGUAAAGGCCCACCAAGGCGACGAUCCGUAGCUGGUCUGAGAGGAUGAUCAGCCACACUGGAACUGAGACACGGUCCAGACUCCUACGGGAGGCAGGAGUGGGGAAUAUUGGACAAUGGGCGAAAGCCUGAUCCAGCCAUACCGCGUGGGUGAAGAAGGCCUUCGGGUUGUAAAGCCCUUUUGUUGGGAAAGAAAAGCAGCAGGUUAAUACCCCGCUGUUCUGACGGUACCCAAAGAAUAAGCACCGGCUAACUUCG
RNAcentral lists this ribosomal RNA (490 nucleotides) under uncultured bacterium. Its description in RNAcentral is "partial 16S ribosomal RNA". It matches the Rfam family "Bacterial small subunit ribosomal RNA", at positions 29 to 505 of the family's 1533-position model. The record is from RNAcentral.